UACAUUUUAUUGUAUGAUGCAUAAAAAUUUUUGAUAUUUUAGGGAACAGUUUGAUUCUGUUAGGUGUAA
RNAcentral lists this transfer RNA (69 nucleotides) under Ectobius sp. Z254C. Its description in RNAcentral is "tRNA-Gln". The record is from RNAcentral. Lineage: Eukaryota; Metazoa; Arthropoda; Insecta; Blattodea; Ectobiidae.